GAUGAACGCUAGCUACAGGCUUAACACAUGCAAGUCGAGGGGUAACAAGAGGAAAGCUUGCUUUUCUUGUUGACGACCGGCGCACGGGUGAGUAACGCGUAUCCAACCUGCCUAUAACUAGGGAAUAACCUUGCGAAAGUAAGACUAAUACCCUAUGAUUUCCUUCGAUGGCAUCAGAUUAGGAAUAAAGAUUUAUCGGUUAUAGAUGGGGAUGCGUCUGAUUAGCUUGUUGGCGGGGUAACGGCCCACCAAGGCAACGAUCAGUAGGGGUUCUGAGAGGAAGGUCCCCCACAUUGGAACUGAGACACGGUCCAAACUCCUACGGGAGGCAGCAGUGAGGAAUAUUGGUCAAUGGGCGGAAGCCUGAACCAGCCAAGUAGCGUGCAGGAUGACGGCCCUAUGGGUUGUAAACUGCUUUUAUACGGGAAUAAAGUUAGCCACGUGUGGUUAUUUGUAGGUACUGUAUGAAUAAGGACCGGCUAAUUCCGUGCCAGCCGCCGCGGUAA
RNAcentral lists this ribosomal RNA (506 nucleotides) under uncultured bacterium. RNAcentral describes it as "partial 16S ribosomal RNA". It matches the Rfam family "Bacterial small subunit ribosomal RNA", at positions 28 to 523 of the family's 1533-position model. The record is from RNAcentral.